CUAUGGGGUCUCAGGGUGCCCCAUAUGGGGGCUGUGGGGUUUAAAGGUGGGCUAUGGGAUCUGGGGGUGCCCAUAUGGGGGCUGUGGGGUCACAGGGUGCCCAUACGGGGACGGUGGGGUCUCGGUUCGCCCCAUAGAUGUGGGGCUCCCCAUAAGUGUGGGUCGCUGCCCCCCAGGUGUGGUGGAGCCGGUGGAGGUGACGGAUAACGGGGACGGGACCAGGAGCGUCAGCUACGUCCCAUCCCGAGAGGGGCCCUACAGCAUCUCCGUGCGCUAUGGGGACCAGGACGUGCCCCGAAGGUGUGGGGCGGGAGUGGGGUGGUUAUGGGGUGGUUAUGGGGUGCUAUAGGGCAGCUAUGGGAUGGUUAUGGGGUGGUUAUGGGGUGCUAUAGGGCAGCUAUGGGGCGGUUAUGGGGCCCUACAGCAUCUCCGUGCGCUAUGGGGACCAGGAUGUGCCCCGAAGGUGUGGGGCGGGAGUGGGGUGGUUAUGGGGUGGUUAUGGGGUGCUAUAGGGCAGCUAUAGGGUGUCUGUGGGGCACUAUAAGGCAGCUAUGGGAUAUGUAUGGGGCAGCCAUGGGGCAGCUAUGGGAUAUCUAUGGGGCAGCUGUGGGGCAGCCAUGGGGCAGCUAUGGCAUAUCUAUGGGGCAGCUAUGGGGCAGCCAUGGGGCAGAGAUGACUCCAUUGGGUGCAGUAGGGCACUGCAGGCCACUGGGGGGCGCUGUGGAGCAGCAGUGCGGCUGUUAUAGGGAACCUAUGGGGCCGCUAUGGGGCAGCUGUGGGGUAUCUAUGGGGCAGCUAUAGGGCAGCCAUGGAGCAGCCAUGGGGCAGCUAUGGGGCAGCUGUGGGGUAUCUAUGGGGCAGCUGUGGGGCAGGCAAAGUGCAGAUUAAGGGCAGGUAAAUGGCAGCUAUUGGACACUAGGGGGCGCUGUGGAGCAGCAGUGCGGCUGUUAUAGGGAACCUAUGGGGCAGCCAUGGGGCAGCUAUGGGGCAGCUGUGGGAUAUCUAUGGAGCACUAUGGGGUACCUAUGGGGCAGCCGUG
This 1039-nucleotide long non-coding RNA is filed under the name Phasianus colchicus (ring-necked pheasant). RNAcentral describes it as "lncRNA (ENSPCLG00000017400.1)". Lineage: Eukaryota; Metazoa; Chordata; Aves; Galliformes; Phasianidae. The record is from RNAcentral.